UGGGGGAUAACCUGGGGAAACCCAGGCUAAUACCGCAUACGUCCUACGGGAGAAAGGGGGCUCCGGCUCCCGCUAUGGGAUGAGCCUAUGUCGGAUUAGCUAGUUGGUGAGGUAACGGCUCACCAGGGCCACGAUCCGUAUCUGGUCUGAGAGGAUGAUCAGCCACAUCGGGACUGAGACACGGCCCGAACUCCUACGGGAGGCAGCAGUGGGGAAUAUUGGACAAUGGGGGCAACCCUGAUCCAGCCAUGCCGCGUGUGUGAAGAAGGCCCUCGGGUUGUAAAGCACUUUCAGCGAGGAAGAACGCCUAGCGGUUAAUACCCGCUAGGAAAGACAUCACUCGCAGAAGAAGCACCGGCUAACUCCGUGCCAGCAGCCGCGGUAAUACGGAGGGUGCAAGCGUUAAUCGGAAUUACUGGGCGUAAAGCGCGCGUAGGUGGCUUGAUAAGCCGGUUGUGAAAGCCCCGGGCUCAACCUGGGAACGGCAUCCGGAACUGUCAAGC
This 503-nucleotide ribosomal RNA is filed under the name Vreelandella aquamarina. RNAcentral describes it as "bacterial SSU rRNA". It matches the Rfam family "Bacterial small subunit ribosomal RNA", at positions 137 to 641 of the family's 1533-position model. The record is from RNAcentral. Lineage: Bacteria; Pseudomonadati; Pseudomonadota; Gammaproteobacteria; Oceanospirillales; Halomonadaceae.